UUUCCGUAGGUGAACCUGCGGAAGGAUCAUUACUGAGUGAGGGCCCUCUGGGUCCAACCUCCCACCCGUGUUUAUUGUACCUUGUUGCUUCGGUGCGCCCGCCUCACGGCCGCCGGGGGGCUUCUGCCCCCGGGUCCGCGCGCACCGGAGACACCAUUGAACUCUGUCUGAAGAUUGCAGUCUGAGCAUAAACUAAAUAAGUUAAAACUUUCAACAACGGAUCUCUUGGUUCCGGCAUCGAUGAAGAACGCAGCGAAAUGCGAUAACUAAUGUGAAUUGCAGAAUUCAGUGAAUCAUCGAGUCUUUGAACGCACAUUGCGCCCCCUGGUAUUCCGGGGGGCAUGCCUGUCCGAGCGUCAUUGCUGCCCUCAAGCACGGCUUGUGUGUUGGGCUCCGUCCCCCCGGGGACGGGCCCGAAAGGCAGCGGCGGCACCGAGUCCGGUCCUCGAGCGUAUGGGGCUUUGUCACCCGCUCUGUAGGCCCGGCCGGCGCCAGCCGACAACCCAUCAUCCUUUUCAGGUUGACCUCGGAUCAGGUAGGGAUACCCGCUGAACUUAA
Molecule: ribosomal RNA, 558 nt
Filed under: Penicillium spinulosum
Lineage: Eukaryota; Fungi; Ascomycota; Eurotiomycetes; Eurotiales; Aspergillaceae
Description: eukaryotic LSU rRNA
Rfam family: 5.8S ribosomal RNA (bases 206-359)
Source: RNAcentral